UAACGCGUGGAUAACCUGCCGUAUGCAGGGGGAUAACAGUUGGAAACAGCUGCUAAUACCGCAUAAGCGCACAAUACCGCAUGGUACUGUGUGAAAAGAUUUAUCGGCAUACGAUGGAUCCGCGUCCGAUUAGCCAGUUGGCGGGGUAACGGCCCACCAAAGCGACGAUCGGUAGCCGGCCUGAGAGGGCGGACGGCCACAUUGGGACUGAGACACGGCCCAAACUCCUACGGGAGGCAGCAGUGGGGAAUAUUGCACAAUGGGGGAAACCCUGAUGCAGCGACGCCGCGUGAGUGAAGAAGUAUCUCGGUAUGUAAAGCUCUAUCAGCAGGGAAGAAAAUGACGGUACCUGACUAAGAAGCCCCGGCUAACUACGUGCCAGCAGCCGCGGUAAUACGUAGGGGGCAAGCGUUAUCCGGAUUUACUGGGUGUAAAGGGAGCGUAGACGGCGCUGCAAGUCCGGAGUGAAAGCCCAUGGCUUAACCAUGGUACUGCUCUGGAAACUGUGGAGCUUGAGUGCGGGAGGGGCAGGCGGAAUUCCUAGUGUAGCGGUGAAAUGCGUAGAUAUUAGGAGGAACACCGGCGGCGAAGGCGGCCUGCUGGACCGUAACUGACGUUGAGGCUCGAAAGCGUGGGGAGCAAACAGGAUUAGAUACCCUGGUAGU
Molecule: ribosomal RNA, 665 nt
Filed under: uncultured bacterium
Lineage: Bacteria
Description: bacterial SSU rRNA
Rfam family: Bacterial small subunit ribosomal RNA
Source: RNAcentral